RNAcentral lists this transfer RNA (62 nucleotides) under Bemisia afer. RNAcentral describes it as "tRNA-Gly". The record is from RNAcentral. Lineage: Eukaryota; Metazoa; Arthropoda; Insecta; Hemiptera; Aleyrodidae.
GAUUUAUUAGUAUAGAUAGUAUAUUUAACUUCCAAUUAAAAGGAUCAUACUUGAAUAAAUCA